Molecule: non-coding RNA, 1139 nt
Organism: Camellia sinensis
Lineage: Eukaryota; Viridiplantae; Streptophyta; Magnoliopsida; Ericales; Theaceae
Source: RefSeq, a predicted model, not a curated record
UACACUAAACCUCACCCACUAACCUAACCCACUACACCCACUCAACUCCACUAAACCUAACCCACUCUACCUACCACCUCCACUUCACCCCCUACCAGCACCACCACAAUCUGCUACCUUCUCUUCUAUAUAUAGGAGUUGUAAUCAAUAUACACAAAUCAAUCUUGUAAUAUAUACACAUCAAUCAAUAAUACAUACUUUCAUCAUGGUAUCAGAGCAAGGUUAAGAACCUAUUCAUUCUGCUUCACCGGCGGGCGGCAGCCUCGCCUUGGCCGCCCGCCGGACCUCUACACAUACCUUGGCAUCUCGAGAAGUGAACUCCAUGAUCUGCUAAGCAAACCAUCACUGAGUGGUAUUCCAUUGUUGGUGUUAGGCAACAAGAUCGACAAGCCUGGUGUUGGUGCCAUUAAAAGAAAACCCAAUCGGGUUCGGAUCCUGAUCCGUUACAGUACUGAUGCUACCACUGCGACAAACGGGUCUCCAUCGAAACCCUCCCCGACCUCCCCGAUAUGGUCUGCUACAAGUGCGCGAACGGCUUCCCUGAGCUCUGGUACACGGGGCGCCACCAAAUGCUAGAGAGGGAAGAGAGCCCUGUGUGUGUCUUCUCUAUCCUUCUCUAAACCGUCUAGUCUCUCUCAAACACACAGCACAUAUACACACAGAGGCAGCAGAUGUUGAAAGCAGCCUUUACUCUCUCUAGCGAGCUCAAACGCACAUCUCUCUCUCAGCGGGGAUACAUUUUCAGCAAAGGGACAAAGCCAUCGCUGGGCUCUCUCUCUCUCUCGGGCAUGGUCUCUUCUCUCUCUUUACAUUACCAACCCAUUAUAAUAUAUUAACCUCCACUAUCCACAUCAUGUAGCCCACAAUCUUUAUCACCCGCAGAUACACACACACUUGCACUAUACCUACCCAUUAUAAUAUAUUAACAUCCACUCUCCUCAUCCUGUAGCCCACUUUCUCUUUCUCCUUUUUCCAUUGCUAUUAUAUUCAGCUCGUUGCAUAAUUUCCAGCUCUUCAAACACAAGAAUACAAAUUUUAAUGAGCUCACUUCUCACUUAAAAGUAGAUUUCCAUCCAGAACUUGGCCAAUGGAAAAACUUUCAAAAAUUCUUAGUCUAGCAACAUUUAAAAAAAAAAAAA